This 329-nucleotide ribosomal RNA is filed under the name uncultured eukaryote. Its description in RNAcentral is "partial 18S ribosomal RNA". It matches the Rfam family "Eukaryotic small subunit ribosomal RNA", at positions 1470 to 1796 of the family's 1831-position model. The record is from RNAcentral.
CCCUUAGAUGUUCUGGGCCGCACGCGCGCUACACUGAUGCAUUCAACGAGUCUAAAACCUGCUCUGAUAGGGGUGGGUAAUCUUUUGAAUGUGCAUCGUGAUUGGGAUAGAUGAUUGAAAUUUUUCAUCUUCAACGAGGAAUGCCUAGUAAACGCAAGUCAUCAGCUUGCAUUGAUUACGUCCCUGCCCUUUGUACACACCGCCCGUCGCUCCUACCGAUUGAAUGAUCCGAUGAAUAUCAUGGAUUGAGGAUGCAAGUAGGUUCACCUAUCUUCAUCUUCGAGAAGUGAAGUAAAGCUUAUCAUUUAGAGGAAGGAGAAGUCGUAACA